RNAcentral lists this long non-coding RNA (231 nucleotides) under Capsicum annuum. Its description in RNAcentral is "long non-coding RNA (CANN_LNC002795)". The record is from RNAcentral. Lineage: Eukaryota; Viridiplantae; Streptophyta; Magnoliopsida; Solanales; Solanaceae.
UUUUCAAACUUUCAUAACCCCAUGAAUAGCUGUUAAACGCCUCAAGAUCCUCGGAGAGCUUUAUUAAACCGAGGCUUAUGUUGUUGUUAAUGUCUCUCGCCCAAAGAAUAUUAUGUACAAACCAAACCAAGCACAAUGAUUGCUUGUGCUUCUUUGAAAGUCCUUUACCUUUCAACGCUUCUAUCAAAUUUUUGUUUUUGAAGCUUGGACCAACAAUGGACACCAGGUCAU